This 424-nucleotide ribosomal RNA is filed under the name uncultured prokaryote. RNAcentral describes it as "bacterial SSU rRNA". It matches the Rfam family "Bacterial small subunit ribosomal RNA", at positions 355 to 796 of the family's 1533-position model. The record is from RNAcentral.
UGGGGAAUAUUGGACAAUGGGCGAAAGCCUGAUCCAGCCAUGCCGCGUGAGUGAUGAAGGCCCUAGGGUUGUAAAGCUCUUUUACCCGUGAAGAUAAUGACGGUAGCGGGAGAAUAAGCUCCGGCUAACUCCGUGCCAGCAGCCGCGGUAAUACGGAGGGAGCUAGCGUUGUUCGGAAUUACUGGGCGUAAAGCGCACGUAGGCGGCCAUUCAAGUCAGAGGUGAAAGCCCGGGGCUCAACCCCGGAACUGCCUUUGAAACUAAAUGGCUAGAAUCUUGGAGAGGCGAGUGGAAUUCCGAGUGUAGAGGUGAAAUUCGUAGAUAUUCGGAAGAACACCAGUGGCGAAGGCGACUCGCUGGACAAGUAUUGACGCUGAGGUGCGAAAGCGUGGGGAGCAAACAGGAUUAGAUACCCCCGUAGUCC